UUCAUUCACACUUGAUGAGGUUCUCAAAAGAAUCCCAGAGGUUUCAUCGAGAAGUGUGAACAUUCUAACAAAGACCCCUGCCAAAAACAAACUAUCUCCCGAGGAGUUGAGAAUGAACUUAAAGGAGUUGUCAGAUUACAUUUUCUCCUCAGCUGUUGGACUCCUGAAAGUAAUGACAUAUCCAAUGAAAAGGUGAAGAUAACGAAUAGUGAUCAAUCUCAUAACUCCCAGAAGCAACACAAAAUUGAAUGUUUGGGCAAACACGGACCCUGGAUAUACCAGACGUUGGAUCAAAUGCCUAGGAGGAGUAAGUGUUCCAUGUCGACCUGUGACGCCAGCCGUAAGCCCUUUAUCUUGAUCAGGUAAACGGAGCUAUCCGAUGUCAAAAUCAGUGUGUCAAGAGCGACCCAAGAAUAGUGUACUUUUUGGGGACUUUGAGUGAUUCACCACCCUUUGAACAAAUGUAUUUUGAGAUCUUCAAAGGAAUCCUAGAUUUAUCAAGAAGCCAUGUUUUAAUUGCUGCCCAUCAAAUAGUACUGUGUCUUGCAUGUGUAAAUUAGAUUCAUUUAGAGGAAAUAGCUGGUGUGCAGUGCACAUUCCUAAAUGAAUUCAUCAGUUUACAUUAAGGAUCUACCUUCAAAUCCUGUAAUCUGGGAUGCUCUAAAGUGCAUGUCACAGACUAAAGUUAUAAAAAAUAACUUCCAAUAAUUUUUAAGAAAUUGUUAUAACUUUGAAAUGUAUGUAUAUACAUGUACAUGUAUACUGAUAUUGAAUUAAAUUUUAUAAAAUUUCAGCAUCUGAUUUUAUGUAUAUAUAGACAUAUUGUAAAAAUGUUCCACUCUAAAGGUUUAAUUUCUUUAAUAUUUAAGACUUAAAAAAACACUUUUGCAGAUACAGUGGUGUAACAUUGUCUUACUUUCUGA
Ostrea edulis (European flat oyster) is the source of this 923-nucleotide long non-coding RNA. RefSeq lists it as uncharacterized. The transcript is spliced from 4 exons. NCBI's taxonomy places the organism in Eukaryota, Metazoa, Mollusca, Bivalvia, Ostreida, Ostreidae. The record is from RefSeq and is a predicted model, not a curated record.